CCUACGGGUGGCAGCAGUGGGGAAUAUUGCACAAUGGGGGAAACCCUGAUGCAGCGACGCCGCGUGAGCGAUGAAGUAUUUCGGUAUGUAAAGCUCUAUCAGCAGGGAAGAAGAUGACGGUACCUGACUAAGAAGCCACGGCUAACUACGGGCCAGCAGCCGCGGGAAUACGUAGGGGGAAAGGGUUAUACGGAAUUACUGGGUGUAAAGGGAUCGUAGACGGGGAUGCAAGCCAGAUGUGAAAGCCCGGGGCGCAACCCCGGUACGGCAUUUGGAACUGUGGGGCUUGAGUGCCGGAGAGGCAGGGGGAAUUCCUAGUGUAGCGGUGAAAUGCGUAGAUAUUAGGAGGAACACCAGUGGCGAAGGCGGCCUGCUGGACGAUGACUGACGUUGAGGCUCGAAAGCGUGGGGAGCAAACGGGAUUAGAUACCCGUGUAGUC
RNAcentral lists this ribosomal RNA (440 nucleotides) under uncultured bacterium. Its description in RNAcentral is "partial 16S ribosomal RNA". It matches the Rfam family "Bacterial small subunit ribosomal RNA", at positions 338 to 795 of the family's 1533-position model. The record is from RNAcentral.